UACGUAGGGGGCAAGCGUUGUCCGGAAUCAUUGGGCGUAAAGAGCGUGUAGGCGGCUCGGUAAGUCCGCUGUGAAAGUCCAGGGCUCAACCCUGGAAUGCCGGUGGAAACUGUCGAGCUAGAGUCCGGAAGAGGCGAGUGGAAUUCCUGGUGUAGCGGUGAAAUGCGCAGAUAUCAGGAGGAACACCAAUGGCGAAGGCAGCUCGCUGGGACGUGACUGACGCUGAGACGCGAAAGCGUGGGGAGCAAACAGG
RNAcentral lists this ribosomal RNA (253 nucleotides) under uncultured bacterium. RNAcentral's name for it is "partial 16S ribosomal RNA". It matches the Rfam family "Bacterial small subunit ribosomal RNA", at positions 524 to 776 of the family's 1533-position model. The record is from RNAcentral.